CAAUAGCGUAUAUUAAAGUUGUUGCAGUUAGAACGCUCGUAGUCGGAUUUCGGGGCGGGCCUGCCGGUCUGCCGUUGGGUAUGCACUGGUGGGCGCGUCCUUCCUUCCGGAGACCGUGGCUACUCUUAACUGAGCGGUUGCGGGAGACGGAUCGUUUACUUUGAAAAAUCAGAGUGUUUCUAGCAAGGCAGCUCGCUCUUGCAUAGGUUAGCAUGGGAUAAUUUAAUAGGACUCUGGUGCUAUUUUGUUGGUUUCGAACACCGGAGUAAUGAUUAAAAGGGGCAGUCAGGGGCACUCGUAUUCCGUCGAGAGAGGUGAAAUUCUCAGACCAAUGGAAGACGAACCACUGCGAAAGCAUUUGCCAGGGAUGUUUUCACUGAUCAAGAACGAAAGUUAGGGGAUCGAAGACGAUCAGAU
RNAcentral lists this ribosomal RNA (417 nucleotides) under uncultured eukaryote. RNAcentral's name for it is "SSU rRNA". It matches the Rfam family "Eukaryotic small subunit ribosomal RNA", at positions 592 to 1013 of the family's 1831-position model. The record is from RNAcentral.